This is a long non-coding RNA of Limulus polyphemus (Atlantic horseshoe crab), 288 nucleotides long. RefSeq lists it as uncharacterized. The record is from RefSeq and is a predicted model, not a curated record. The transcript is spliced from 4 exons. NCBI's taxonomy places the organism in Eukaryota, Metazoa, Arthropoda, Merostomata, Xiphosura, Limulidae.
UAUUUUGCUUUCAACUGAGAAAACAGGAAACGACAAGAAAACAUUAAUGUUUUCUUCAAGAAGUAAAUUGCUGGUUCAACCCGAGUGAUUAGAUAAUUACAAGAAAACUAAGCGCGUCUAGUCAGCUUUCGGCCACAUAUUUAUUCUAGUCCAACAUGGUGAUUUUAACAAGGGGUGAUUACAUUUGGAUUGAGCCCCAAUCUAAAAGAGAAUUUGAUGUUGCCAUUGGUGCUAAAGUUACCUCUACAGAUGGGAAGCGAUUUCAGGUGAUUGAUGAUGAUGGAAAGG